This 450-nucleotide ribosomal RNA is filed under the name uncultured bacterium. RNAcentral's name for it is "partial 16S ribosomal RNA". It matches the Rfam family "Bacterial small subunit ribosomal RNA", at positions 354 to 796 of the family's 1533-position model. The record is from RNAcentral.
GUGGGGAAUAUUGGACAAUGGGCGAAAGCCUGAUCCAGCCAUGCCGCGUGUGUGAAGAAGGUCUUCGGAUUGUAAAGCACUUUAAGUUGGGAGGAAGGGCAGUAAGUUAAUACCUUGCUGUUUUGACGUUACCGACAGAAUAAGCACCGGCUAACUUCGUGCCAGCAGCCGCGGUAAUACGAAGGGUGCAAGCGUUAAUCGGAAUUACUGGGCGUAAAGCGCGCGUAGGUGGAUUUGUAAGUUGGAGGUGAAAUCCCCGGGCUCAACCUGGGAACUGCCUCCAAAACUGCAUGACUAGAGUACGGUAGAGGGUAGUGGAAUUUCCUGUGUAGCGGUGAAAUGCGUAGAUAUAGGAAGGAACACCAGUGGCGAAGGCGACUACCUGGACUGAUACUGACACUGAGGUGCGAAAGCGUGGGGAGCAAACAGGAUUAGAAACCCGGGUAGUCC